RNAcentral lists this unclassified non-coding RNA (400 nucleotides) under uncultured fungus. RNAcentral's name for it is "sequence contains ITS1". Lineage: Eukaryota; Fungi. The record is from RNAcentral.
CCGUCAAUUCCUUUGAGUUUCACUCUUGCGAGCGUACUCCCCAGGCGGAGUGCUUAAUGCGUUAGCUGCGGCACUGAGGUUUGACCCCCAACACCUAGCACUCAUCGUUUACGGUGUGGACUACCAGGGUAUCUAAUCCUGUUUGCUCCCCACACUUUCGUGCCUCAGCGUCAGUUACAGUCCAGAAAGUCGCCUUCGCCACUGGUGUUCCUCCUAAUAUCUACGCAUUUCACCGCUACACUAGGAAUUCCACUUUCCUCUCCUGCACUCAAGUCCUACAGUUUCAAAGGCUUACUACGGUUGAGCCGUAGCCUUUCACCCCUGACUUGUAAGACCGCCUACGCACCCUUUACGCCCAGUGAUUCCGGAUAACGCUUGCCCCCUACGUAUUACCGCGGCG